GAUGAACGCUGGCGGCGUGCUUAACACAUGCAAGUCGAACGGGAAUUCUUUUAUUGAAACUUCGGUCGAUUUAAUUUAAUUCUAGUGGCGGCCGGGUGAGUAACGCGUGGGUAACCUGCCUUAUACAGGGGGAUAACAGUCAGAAAUGGCUGCUAAUACCGCAUAAGCGCACAGAGCUGCAUGGCUCAGUGUGAAAAACUCCGGUGGUAUAAGAUGGACCCGCGUUGGAUUAGCUGGUUGGUGGGGUAACGGCCCACCAAGGCGACGAUCCAUAGCCGGCCUGAGAGGGUGAACGGCCACAUUGGGACUGAGACACGGCCCAGACUCCUACGGGAGGCAGCAGUGGGGAAUAUUGCACAAUGGGGGAAACCCUGAUGCAGCGACGCCGCGUGAAGGAAGAAGUAUCUCGGUAUGUAAACUUCUAUCAGCAGGGAAGAUAGUGACGGUACCUGACUAAGAAGCCCCGGCUAACUACGUG
RNAcentral lists this ribosomal RNA (478 nucleotides) under uncultured bacterium. RNAcentral describes it as "partial 16S ribosomal RNA". It matches the Rfam family "Bacterial small subunit ribosomal RNA", at positions 28 to 507 of the family's 1533-position model. The record is from RNAcentral.